ACAUAACUACAGAGAAACAGAACGUCUGUCAGAAGAGCACAAGAAGGAAUAGCGUUUGAAGAAAGAACAAAACGUUUAAAACUACAUCGAUUGAGAGAAAUGAGCACCUUUUUUCCGACUUAAUCGCCAAUAACCCAAAUGGUACCCAGGUGCUAAUCACCCCUCACUGAAUACAUGACGUCAAUGGAUGAAUGCGUGAUACUCCCAGGUCAUUGACCAGGUCCUGCCGUGUAGUUCUGGGCUGAUCCCUCACCUUCCUCAUGAUCAUUGAUGCCCCACGAGGUGAGAUCUUGCAUGGAGCCCCAGACCGAAGGAGAUUGACCGUCAUCUUGAACUUCUUCCAUUUUCUAAUAAUUGCACCAACAGUUGUUGCCUUCUCACCAAGCUGCUUGCCUAUUGUCCAUUAGCCCAUCCCAGCC
Molecule: long non-coding RNA, 419 nt
Organism: Esox lucius (northern pike)
Lineage: Eukaryota; Metazoa; Chordata; Actinopteri; Esociformes; Esocidae
Source: Ensembl